This 137-nucleotide non-coding RNA is filed under the name Picochlorum sp. RCC944. The record is from RNAcentral. Lineage: Eukaryota; Viridiplantae; Chlorophyta; Trebouxiophyceae.
GAGAGGGAGAGAGAGAGGGAGAGAGAGAAAGAGGAAAACCAAUAUCAACUGUUUUUCGGGUUGUUUUUUGUUUUUUCUUUCUUCUUCGAGUUAGUCUUUCUUAGCGAUUGAGACUCAGACGGAAGAAAAGCUUGAAG